UAAGGAAUAUUGGACAAUGGAGGCAACUCUGAUCCAGCCAUGCCGCGUGAAGGAAUAAGGCCCUAUGGGUUGUAAACUUCUUUUAGACGGGACAAAACCCCUUUACGUGUAAAGGGUUGAUGGUACUGUCAGAAUAAGCAUCGGCUAACUUCGUGCCAGCAGCCGCGGUAAUACGAAGGAUGCAAGCGUUAUCCGGAAUUAUUGGGUUUAAAGGGUGCGUAGGCGGACUAAUAAGUCAGUGGUGAAAGCCUGCAGCUUAACUGCAGAAUUGCCAUGGAUACUGUUAGUCUUGAGUACAGUUGAGGUAGGCGGAAUGUGUCAUGUAGCGGUGAAAUGCUUAGAUAUGACACAGAACACCGAUUGCGAAGGCAGCUUGCUAAGCUGUAACUGACGCUGAGGCACGAAAGCGUGGGGAGCAAACA
Molecule: ribosomal RNA, 422 nt
Filed under: uncultured bacterium
Lineage: Bacteria
Description: bacterial SSU rRNA
Rfam family: Bacterial small subunit ribosomal RNA
Source: RNAcentral